RNAcentral lists this ribosomal RNA (274 nucleotides) under bacterium. RNAcentral's name for it is "partial 16S ribosomal RNA". It matches the Rfam family "Bacterial small subunit ribosomal RNA", at positions 1249 to 1533 of the family's 1533-position model. The record is from RNAcentral.
GCGACGGGGUAACCCUGAGCUAAUCCUAAUAAAGGUGGCCCCAGUUCGGAUUGAGGGCUGAAACUCGACCUCAUGAAGUUGGAAUCGCUAGUAAUCGCGGGUCAGCUAUACCGCGGUGAAUACGUUCUCAAGUCUUGUACUCACCGCCCGUCAAGUCAGGGGAGCCGUGAGUACCCAAAAUCCCAGCUAGUCUGGGCUUAAGGUAAGCAUGGUGACAAGGACUAAGUCGUAACAAGGCACGGCUAGCGGAAGCUGGUCGUGAAUCAAUUCAAAA